AGAAGAUUUUGGAUGGAAACU
Non-coding RNA from Caenorhabditis elegans, 21 nucleotides. The record is from Ensembl. Lineage: Eukaryota; Metazoa; Nematoda; Chromadorea; Rhabditida; Rhabditidae.